GUUUGUAGAGACUCCUCCGGUACCACAGGGCCGGCCACACUCUCUGGCCCUUGCCCGGGGCCCUGCUUGUGGGCGUCACUCCUGAGGCCUUCGCAGGUUUGGCAAUUGAUUUCUGACUUCACCGUCCACACAGGCUUAGGUUUUGGCUUCUGUGUGCUGCACACUAGUUCCCCUGAUCCACCUUUUUCCAGAUUCCAAAACUUGGCUUUUUCUUGAAGAGCAGGGAUGUCUAACUCCUUCUCUCUGACUUUCUGGGUUUAACUCUUUACUGCAUUUGGGUUUUUGGGUGGCAGCUCAGAGCACUCGUGUUCAGUCGUCCAAGUGUCAUCAGAGUGCACGGAUAGAUUCUCUACUGUGUCACUCUCCAUUUGUUCCUGGAAGAAACGCUCUGUGAUUCUGCUUCGUUAUGAGAUGCUGCUUCGUUCUCUUUAAUUAUUUUAUUUAGGAUUGUUGUAUCUACUUAUACUUGGGAUGGUGCUUUAAUUUUCGUUUUUCUUGUCUUUUUUGACAUUCUGUGCAGAAUUUUAUUAGGCCCACAAGAGGAGAUGUACAUCUUUCUGAUUUUUUGAAAAUAAUUUUUUUGUCUCUGAAUUGCAUUGAAGCCUGGUGGAAUGUGAGUAGGAAUGCACUCUGUAGAGCAGGAAGGAGGCCAGAUCUGAACAUGUGGAAAGUUGCCAUUACCGUUUUAGAAGGCCUGCCUGCCAGAGAAGGCAAACAAAAUCUCAGGACCUGACCUCUUACACUGGACUAGGGUCAGUGGAGAUGAGCAGACAAGACCCUCUCAGUCUCUCGGAUCUUGCAGCACAGAGCCUGCUGAAUGAUGAGGACUCAGCUGUCUGUGCCUUGGAGGAGCUCCCUGUGGGCCUUUUCCCAGCACUGUCCAUGGCAGCCUCUGAUGGAGGACACACAAAGACUGUGACAGCAAUGGUGCGGGCCUGGCCCUUCCUCUUGGAAGCUGUUCUAGAUGGGCUGGAAUUGGUUUCUACCAAUGUUGCAUGCCCCAGGGCAGAUGAGCAGUCUGGGCCACCUCGUCAUGAACGACAUCCCCUGGGAUUUCCCUGCAGACUGUUUCUCUUUGCUAAGUCUGCUGGGCCACCUUCAGAAGCUCCAUCUCAUCUUCGGCUAUCUCUCGGGCCAGCUACAGAAGAUGCUGAGAAGAUGGCUCCCACCAUUUGCAUCCAGACUGAGUGGCCUGUGAAAAUCUCUGGAGACGCUGGUGAUCAAUGGAUGUAG
This 1233-nucleotide long non-coding RNA is filed under the name Zalophus californianus (California sea lion). RNAcentral's name for it is "lncRNA (ENSZCAG00015021144.1)". The record is from RNAcentral. Lineage: Eukaryota; Metazoa; Chordata; Mammalia; Carnivora; Otariidae.